UGAGAUAUGGUGUAAUGGUAGCACUACAGAUUUUGGUUCUGUCUGUCAAGGUUCGAAUCCUUGUAUCUCAA
Molecule: transfer RNA, 71 nt
Filed under: Akkermansia sp.
Lineage: Bacteria; Pseudomonadati; Verrucomicrobiota; Verrucomicrobiia; Verrucomicrobiales; Akkermansiaceae
Also listed under: 2 other names
Description: tRNA-Gln
Rfam family: tRNA
About the family: Transfer RNA (tRNA) molecules are approximately 80 nucleotides in length.
Source: RNAcentral